UUGGUGGGGUAACGGCCUACCAAGCCGACGAUCAGUAGCCGACCUGAGAGGGUGACCGCCCACAUUGGGACUGAGACACGGCCCAAACUCCUACGGGAGGCAGCAGUGGGGAAUAUUGCACAAUGGGGGAAACCCUGAUGCAGCGACGCCGCGUGAGCGAUGAAGUAUUUCGGUAUGUAAAGCUCUAUCAGCAGGGAAGAAAAUGACGGUACCUGACUAAGAAGCACCGGCUAAAUACGUGCCAGCAGCCGCGGUAAUACGUAUGGUGCAAGCGUUAUCCGGAUUUACUGGGUGUAAAGGGAGCGUAGACGGAGUGGCAAGUCUGAUGUGAAAACCCGGGGCUCAACCCCGGGACUGCAUUGGAAACUGUCAAUCUAGAGUACCGGAGAGGUAAGCGGAAUUCCUAGUGUAGCGGUGAAAUGCGUAGAUAUUAGGAGGAACACCAGUGGCGAAGGCGGCUUACUGGACGGUAACUGACGUUGAGGCUCGAAAGCGUGGGGAGCAAACAGGAUUAGAUACCCUGGUAGUCCACGCCGUAAACGCUGAAUAUGGGGUGUCGGGCAGCAAAGCUGUUCGGUGCCGCAG
This 585-nucleotide ribosomal RNA is filed under the name uncultured bacterium. RNAcentral describes it as "bacterial SSU rRNA". It matches the Rfam family "Bacterial small subunit ribosomal RNA", at positions 249 to 851 of the family's 1533-position model. The record is from RNAcentral.